GCCAGACUCCUACGGGAGGCAGCAGUGGGGAAUAUUGCACAAUGGGGGAAACCCUGAUGCAGCGACGCCGCGUGAGUGAAGAAGUCAUUCGUGAUGUAAAGCUCUAUCAGCAGGGAAGAAAAUGACGGUACCUGACCAAGAAGCCCCGGCUAACUACGUGCCAGCAGCCGCGGUAAUACGUAGGGGGCAAGCGUUAUCCGGAUUUACUGGGUGUAAAGGGAGCGUAGACGGCAGCGCAAGUCUGAAGUGAAAUCCCAUGGCUUAACCAUGGAACUGCUUUGGAAACUGUGCAGCUGGAGUGCAGGAGAGGUAAGCGGAAUUCCUAGUGUAGCGGUGAAAUGCGUAGAUAUUAGGAGGAACACCAGUGGCGAAGGCGGCUUACUGGACUGUAACUGACGUUGAGGCUCGAAAGCGUGGGGAGCAAACAGGAUUAGAUACCCGCGUACA
This 447-nucleotide ribosomal RNA is filed under the name uncultured bacterium. RNAcentral's name for it is "bacterial SSU rRNA". It matches the Rfam family "Bacterial small subunit ribosomal RNA", at positions 330 to 797 of the family's 1533-position model. The record is from RNAcentral.